Pipra filicauda (Wire-tailed manakin) is the source of this 1279-nucleotide long non-coding RNA. RefSeq lists it as uncharacterized. The transcript has 5 exons. The record is from RefSeq and is a predicted model, not a curated record. Lineage: Eukaryota; Metazoa; Chordata; Aves; Passeriformes; Pipridae.
UGUCCAUUUCCUAAUAUUUUCUUGAGCAAAGUAUGGCCUCAUGCUUGCUUUGCUAUUCAGUCCUGGCCCAUCUGGACUCUCAGAUAUCCCUUAUGCAAGAAACUGAUGCUUCAAACAGAACUGAAUGUACACAAAGACUUCACCCCUUUCCUACCACAGGUUGGACCCCUGGAAAUAUCCUUUGGUGAUGCAGGUGCCAGGAGACAGUAGGAAGCCACCUCUCCCCUGCUCCUCUUUGUUCUGUCUCUGGUUCAGCCAAGGCUCUAAGGGAAAUCUAUCCUGAAGUUUCAAAACAGUCUUCCUUGUGUUCUCCCUUGUCGCUCUGAGUUCCCAGAGCAAAGGGUGAACAGUGGUCAUUUGUAGAGUGAUCGGCCUUCAGCAUCACAGUGACAGUAUCUGGAGCCCUGGAGGACAGCCCUGCCUGCCUGUGGGAAGGCAGAGAGCAGGCAGGACCAGGCAACAGCUUUGAUGCCAUUCCUGCUGCCUCCUUUUUCCAUCAGCCACGUGGGACAAGCUCCCCUUUUCUGCUCAAAAAAGUGCCUGGAUCAAGGUUUCGCAGCUACUCUUACCUUUCCAGAGUGCACUAAGGUGUGACUGGUUUUCUCCAAAGGUAACUCAAUGCCUGAGUGGAUCAUUAGGUUCCAGGAUCGCUUGGGAGACACAUGGAAGCCAACAUCCACCUGCCAGCUGUAGAUGGGCUCCAUCCACUUCGAGGCAGCAUCCAGACAGGCACCCAGCAGUGGCAUCUUGUCAAGGGACUGGAGAUCUCCAUCAAAUGAUGGCCACAGACUCCAAACUGUGAAUCCCUAUUCCCGGACUCUGAGCUCCUGAGGUUGAUUUUACCACUUCAAUAUAAGUGAAAAUUAUGUGGAUUGGUGGCAGAAGCAAGUUAUAUGACGAGUGGAGAGGAAUACAUCUCCAGAGCCAGGUUUCUGCUUCAGACAAGGCUGCAGCAGGCGACGGCGCCCGGCUCUCCCGGCAGAGACGGCUACAAUGAAUAACCCAGGAGGCUCUGGUGAGAGGCCUCCAAGGGUGGUUUGGAAGGUGUUUUUCUGAUCAAAAUAUCUUCAGCUGUUUUAUGGUGGCAGGAGCUGCAAGAUUUGUGUAUGAGACACCCAUCUUCAAGCCUAAGAGCAUUUCUUUUCCCAGAAUAGCUGCUUCCAGAAAUCUCCAGGUUUUGAUCCUUUGGCCAUUUCAUGGAACUCCAUGUAUCCUGCAGCUGGCUGGAGUGAUAAGACAUGACCAGUGCCCAUCCUGUUCUGUGUGCUCUGGUGUUGGC